GCUGGAGCUUAGAGAGAAGAGAAGCGGUCCUCUUCAACCAUUCAGCUCCUCCUCCCGGGGGUGGGAACCCUAGUCAGGAGGCGGCCAUGUUGUUGUACGGAAAAGAACUUCCCGCUUUCGGAGGGAGCUGGAGCUUAGAGAGAAGAGAAGUGGUCCUCUUCAACCAUUCAGCUCCUCCUCCCGGGGGGUGGGAACCCUAGUCAGGAGGCGGCCAUGUUGUUGUACGGAAAAGAACUUCCCGCUUUCGGAGGGAGCUGGAGCUUAGAGAGAAGAGAAGUGGUCCUCUUCAACCAUUCAGCUCCUCCUCCCGGGGGGUGGGAACCCUAGUCAGGAGGCGGCCAUGUUGUUGUACGGAAAAGAACUUCCCGCUUUCGGAGGGAGCUGGAGCUUAGAGAGAAGAGAAGUGGUCCUCUUCAACCAUUCAGCCACUGCCUCCUUCAUUGCCCGCAGUUAAAACAACCAACAAAACAGACCGAGUUGUCUCCAGCGCGGGUCCUCCUCUCCCCCAGCACAAUCCAGAUGGCACUGGUGAAAAAUCUGCAUCCUCUCGGAUUAAAAUGCAAAGAGCAAACUCUUAGACUAGUUUACAGAGACUUCAACAACAAUACUAUAUGAUGACCAUCCUCAGCAACGAGAUCAACCAAAU
Sarcophilus harrisii (Tasmanian devil) is the source of this 646-nucleotide long non-coding RNA. RefSeq lists it as uncharacterized. The transcript has 3 exons. Lineage: Eukaryota; Metazoa; Chordata; Mammalia; Dasyuromorphia; Dasyuridae. The record is from RefSeq and is a predicted model, not a curated record.